This 160-nucleotide ribosomal RNA is filed under the name uncultured bacterium. RNAcentral describes it as "partial 16S ribosomal RNA". It matches the Rfam family "Bacterial small subunit ribosomal RNA", at positions 355 to 507 of the family's 1533-position model. The record is from RNAcentral.
UGGGGAAUAUUGCACAAUGGGCGCAAGCCUGGUGCAGCCAUGCCGCGUGUGUGAAGAAGGCCUUCGGGUUGUAAAGCACUUUCAGUUGUGAGGAAAAGUUAGUAGUUAAUACCUGCUAGCCGUGACGUUAACAACAGAAGAAGCACCGGCUAACUCCGUG